GAUCCUUUAAAGUGAUGUCUAAGUUUGUGGCUCUUUAUUACCUCAUUCACAAAAUGGGGAUCAUUGUGACUAUAUAUUUUCUCAGGAAUGCCAUCAGUAUUUGUAUGGACCACUCUGAUUCAAUUCAAUGUCCAUACAAAUAUUCUGAAAAGGGUAUUCUGGUUCCGGGAAUUUACCUCUCAGUAGUCUCAUAUUUCCUUGUGCAUUAUGCUUUAUGUAUAGUACAUGCUUUACAAAAAAUUUUUUUUAGUAAGUAUUAAAUCCAUAGAUUAUAAAAUGUUCCUCGUAUAAAAUGUUCCUCUAUUACUUUAUACUCCCCCCUGUUGAGAUAUUGACAAAGCCCAUGGCUCAAACAAUUAAUUAUGAGUUAUUGACUUUCCCGUAGAGGUCUUCAUACAUCUUCGUUCCCAUUGUUUUUCCAAUCAAAAACAACAAAUAAUCAACCAAACAAAAAACAAAAACAAAAAAAGCAAAAAAAUUAAAACAAAAAUUGAAAAGGCUUACUGACAACUGUUUGGACAGUUCACUCUAGAAAUGGUUGGGUUAAAAACAACCCAAUUGGCAACCCAGCGCUGGGUAAAUAUUGGACAGAACACAUGCUGGGUUAAAGUAACCCAGCACGUUGGGUAACACAUUUUAACCCAGCAGGUUGGGUUGUUGAGAAAACCCAACAUGUAGUCAUGUUAAAGGUAUAGCGGAAGAUUUUAGAUUUCCGGGUGGAUCACCUAUAACAUUGGUCCUCCUAGCUGUCAAUCAUUCUGAUAAUAUGCUUACGUAACGCCGUCUUACGUGCUCGUCCCUCGUCCCCAGCUUCCGAUUUGUGCGCAUGCGCACUUUCAAGUAGUGUAUGUGUGCUCAGCAAUUGAAGCUCGCGGAGUCGCGGUUCUCACUGUUUUUGAAAAUGUCUGAUCGUGGCAAGAGAAAGAAAACUGUCGUGGAAUUGUAUGACAAGAAGAGAAAGACAUCAGAAGAAAGAAACAAGACCAGAGUGUUUUUGGGAGAAAGUUUUACACGCUGGUGUGCGCUUAAAACACAGAUUGGACUUCCCACUGAUGCCUCAGUCGCGAAGGUUCUACUGGACAGCUAUGAUAAAAUUACAUCCACUCCGCUGACACACACUCAAUGGGUCAGACCCCAGCCUCCAGAUGUGUCCACAAUUAUGGAGUCACUGUCUGAUCGGUGUGUAAUUUAUAGACAAGCGGAUUUCUCUGUGAAGGGAGUCGAGAAAAUGGCCAGCAGUAGUGCCAGUGGGGAAGAAAGCACUGUUCCACAAGAGGAAGCAUGGGCCUCAACUAGUGUAAAUAUUGAUGAAGAUGCCUUCAACAAUCUACAAAAUUCAAUGUAAGUGUCACCAGGUGACUAUGUAGGGCAAUAACAAAAAGUGGCGGAGAAGGGUUCCACUUGGGUAUGGUUUCCACCCGCACCCAAUUUUAAAGGCACCAUUGUAUUUCCUGGUCUCCCUGACAACAAAAAUCAUGAGAAAUGAGCAACAGGUGUGGCGAAUCAGUGGAGCAACCCGCGAUUGGAAGAGGGAGUGAAGACAAGCACAUAAAGAGGUCCAAGAAGCACAAAGGAAGAAGAGUUUGCUUGGUGUGUGUUUUUCUUGUGUUUGAGGUCCCUGGCCCCACUGGAGAGGGAAGCGUGGGCGAGCCGCGGGUUGACCGGAAACACGGAAGAGAUAUUUGGUAAGAAGCGCCGUUUACUAAUAGAGCAGUGGCCCUGCGGGAAAAGGAAACGUGGGUGAGCCAGAGGAGUGAUUAACAACACGCCGGGGCUGUGAAUAACAUACAUCUUACCCUCAUCGGUGGCCUAACGAUCGCCCAACUAUCCUCUCGAGGGAAUCGAAGCAAAGUGGCUAGGUCGAUUAAGAAUCACAUGAAGUGUGUACAAGAGUGCUGUGGGUGAGUUUCACUUCUUAUUGGUGUUUACGCUAUGCUUGCUGUGUGUAUGCUGUGCUUGUAGCGACCAAACUGCCCAGCCUCGGACGAAUCGCGAGAUGACGACAUCUGUGGUGGCCUGAGCCAUACGGAGAGAGAGGAACACUAAGUCUUUGGCCCCGGGUGUGUCAACGAGAGCUUCACUCCUCCAAAGAGCAGACAGUGGUGAAACCCAGUGAGUAUUGUAGAAAGCGCACCGUGCAGAUUGAAGGUCAUACAGCUCGUGGUGUGCGGAGCCCCGACGAGAGUUCGCCCCAAUUCGAGACCCUGGUCGUGGAAGUAGGAGGGGGAGUUUGGGAAGCGUUCGGCUCCGCGCCACUGGACCCACCAGUCCCUACGACGCCCGGACAGCUUGAGUGGAUGGGUGAAGGAAUACGGUGCACCAACGCUGUAGCGAAAGUCCACUGUCUGUGAGUGAGCGUAAAGAUCCCCAGUGCAGUGAGUAACCUAUUCGGUGAAGUGAAAUUAACCUGUGCUUAAAGCAAUUAACUACCUGUGUCCCAGCGAAGGCUCUGUGUGAAUGAAGAUCCCCAGUGCUGUGAGUAACGUAUCCUGUGAAGUGAAAUUAAUCUGUGCUUAUAGCAAUUACUUACCUGUGUCCCAGCGAAGGCUUUGUGUGAAUGAAGAUCCCCAGUGCUGUGAGUAACGUAUCCUGUGAAGUGAAAUUAAUCUGUGCUUAUAGCAAUUACUUACCUGUGUCCCAGCGAAGGCUCUGUGUGAAUGAAGAUCCCCAGUGUCGGGAGUAACGUAUCCUGUGAAGUGAAAUUAAUCUGUGCUUAUAGCAAUUACUUACCUGUGUCCCAGCGAAGGCUCUGGUGUGAACGAAGCCCUCAGUACUGUGAGUUGUCUCCCUGAACGUCUUGCUAACGAUUCUCUGCUUCCAGGAUCCGAAGAGCAACGUGCCUAAGGCGCAGGAGAGAGAGAGAGAAAAACGGAGAGCUAGAGAAGUAGUGACCCGUAGCAAAGUACAGUGGAUAAUUCUUGUUUGAUUCUGCCUCCAGGAAGAAGCGGAGCGCGCCACGGGUUUUAGGAUCGGAGCCCCAAAGAAGCCCCUGUCCCCCGUCCUGGUCAUAAGUGGCCCUGGAGGCGAGAAGAAGUCCCAUCAGUUUUAAAUUGCCUUUUUCCCUUUCCCCUUUUUCUCCUUUUUUUAAAUAUUUAAAUAAAGUUUAUUUUAAACGUAGUUUACUCGUCUGUCUGGUCAUUGGGGUGGUCUUGGGAAACUCCUCGAGGUGGAAGAGUUGAGAGGGGCGUGACCUUUAGUUAUUCGGGUCCGCCCCCGGCCGUGACAUAAGUAUUACUGUUUUAGGGGCUUUAUUUGAGAUACUGAAAGUGCCACUAAUAUUACUUUAUUCAAAAGGAUUGACUGGGAUGAUGAAACUUGGACUCCAGAUACAGAGACACAAUCAAAGUCAUCCUCAGAAGAUGAUGACACUGAGGAGAUGGAACUCUCGGGUGAAACCCAUGAAACCUUCGUUGACAUAGUUGAAGCAGAAGACCUGGAUCCUCAAAUAUGCAUUAGAUCUGUUGUUGCCCUCCCAAAUGGAAUGUCAUUAGAGAAUUAUCCAGUGAUUGGCCUUGAUGAGACUGUGCACGAUGACCCGGAAAUUAAUGAAGAUGAAAGGCAGGAAGUUGCCACACCACCAGACGCACCUAUGGUACUCACAGAGGAAGACGUCAUCGGUCGGCCCACAUCUAUAGUUUAUCUGGACAUUUUAAAGCAGCUGCUGGACUUCCUUAUUCUUCCAAUUGAAAAAUGCACAGUGAAGGAUUCCAUCACAAAGGCACCCUGUAAUGCAGUUAAGCCAUUUGAGGUUUCUGUAAAAUCAAGGUGCUCAGCUGUCAUUGCAGAAUGGAUAUGUCCAAAUGGUCACACUGUUUGGAAGUGGAGUUCACAGCGGUAUUUCAAGUAUGGAAUGCUCGCUGGGGAUUUUAUGUUGGGUGUAAACAUCCUCUUGUCUGGAAACAACUUCCGGAAAAUAGCUCUGCUCUUCAAGUUUAUGAACUUGGGGAUGAUAGACCGGAAUACAUUCUACAAAAUCCAAAACUAAUUUUGUCUGCUGAAUAUUGAAGAUAUGUGGAAGAGGGAGAGUAGCAAUGUCAUCAGCCAGUUGAGUUCAAAGGACUCUGUUGUGCUCCUUGAUUAGUUUAUUACACCACUACAUCUGAAAUAUUAUUAUAAUUUUCUGUCGACAUUCUGUUACUCAUUUUCAAAACAUUUAAUCCGUUUAUAUUUGUCAUUAUAAGGUGAUGCUAGGAUGGACAGUCCAGGGUUCUGUGCUGAAUUCUGCACGUACACCACAAUGGAGAAUGACACAAAAAAAUUGUGUCGAUUGUCAACAUGGACAAACGACAGGUCGGAGGGAACUCUGUGGCUAUGGAGAAGGCAACAUUCAUGGAGACCAUGGACACACUGUGUCCAAAGUGGGGGAAUGUGAAGGAAUUUUGCACUGAUGCCAAUAUACAAAUAUCAGCACUUUUUAACAGUGGCCAAUACAAAGACUGUGGUGUGAAACACAGCCUGGAUAUCUGGCAUGGUGCAAAGGACCUCAGUAAAAAGAUUCUGGCUGCCGGACAUUAGAAGGACUGUGCCCUGCUUCUGAGUUGGAACAGAGAUAUUUGCAACCACUUUUGGUACAGCUGUAAAGAAGCAGAAACGUUUGAAGCUUUUAACAAUCUCUGGACAGGAGUUCUGCAUCAUGUGACUGGCGUACAUGAGUGGUACUUUGGGGCCUGUCGACAUGGCCCUUUGGAGGAAGACAGAAAUAAAGAAUGGAUUCCAAAGGGCUAUGCAGCACACAGAAGACUCCAAACAAUCGUUUAUGAUGCACGCUGGUUGAAAAACAUACCAAAGUAUCUCUCUUUCAGAUCGACCGCAGACCUUGAGUCCUUCCACAAUCAUAUUCUUAUGUAUGCCUCAAAGCGCUUCUGCUUCAAAGCACCAGUGUACUAUGCUCGGACCCUGUUGGCAGGGCUGAAUUAUAACUACCACCUAAGCCGAGGAGCUCGAACAAAUGCAGAUGGCUCACAUCAGUAUGGCAGAAUUUUUAACAAAAGAUCUAAGAUGUGGCGGCUGUACACCAUCAAGAAUCCAAAAACCUACAAGUACAUCCCAGAUCUACAGAGCGCCAUUCUCCGUUCAAGACUGUUGGCUCCUAGAGGGAUGACAGGAAAGCAGCCUCUUGCACUUGAUGAUCCACGAAGGCUGGGGCUUUUGUCUGGAGGGCCUGCACCCACAGUACAAGAAUUAAAGGAAAAGAAAGCCAGCCGAGGACUAGGUCAACCAUCUCACAAAUGACCUGUCAGUAGAUUUGGUGCUUGAAGAGAAUGUGAUUUUGGAAGUUUAGAUGGAUAUAAAGGGUGACAUCUAAUUUCCCCUGUACAGAAUGUGCCAUAUCAAAAAUGUUCUGGUAAAUGUAUGCCAUGUAUAAAAGAACAGUAUAUAAUUUGUAUAUUACAGCAAA
Molecule: non-coding RNA, 5398 nt
Organism: Misgurnus anguillicaudatus (oriental weatherfish)
Lineage: Eukaryota; Metazoa; Chordata; Actinopteri; Cypriniformes; Cobitidae
Source: RefSeq, a predicted model, not a curated record